GUGCUGGCACAGGCUAUCCCCACCUAGUUUCUAUUAUAUAGAGGCUAUCCCCACCUAGUUUCUAUUAUAUAGGAAGGCUAGGUCUCGACGUGUCUGUUUCACGUCAAUCGUUUUUAGAUCGAGGGCAUAUUAGAUUUUUCAAUUAUCUACAUUACGUGUUUUUCAUUGUGCAACUGGGAACGACCACGUAGCAUAUCACAUUUCUGCUUCUCUUUGUAUUUUGCUUCUUUGGCCGUUCUUCAAUUUCUUCUGCUCUUUCAGAAACCGGUAAAUCACUAUGAGAUAUCAUCUGUGACUGAACAAUAGGAGCAUCGAUUGGAUGUUUCUCCUUUGCGGUCUGCUCUGAAUCAUUUAGAUUAAGAGAUAACCAAGUGCAGGUGGCAACCAAUAUGAAGAAGGAAAAAUAUCUUCUCUGGCUUUCCACUCUAUUUUUUCACUACAAAGAAAUAUCCUAGGAGGGUAUUUUCACGUUUUACGGCGGUCAGCAACCCCAUUAAUUGAUAUCACGGCGGUCUUCAAACCCCAAAGAUGUCACAGUUGAAGAGGAACGGAGCAGAUUUCAUAGGGCAUUUAGCCAUUUACUCAUGGUGUUUUCGCCAAAUGCUGCAAUACAGUUGGUUCUAAAGUCUAAUAGGUUAGAGUGUAACAUCCGCUUUAUCGUUCUGCUUCAUUUCAGUGAUAUUUUUACUGAUAAUUUUUUUUGACCUACUUAUAUCAAAGCAGAGGCGGAUCUAGGAUUUUUA
Non-coding RNA from Nicotiana tabacum (common tobacco), 743 nucleotides. The record is from RefSeq and is a predicted model, not a curated record. Lineage: Eukaryota; Viridiplantae; Streptophyta; Magnoliopsida; Solanales; Solanaceae.